RNAcentral lists this transfer RNA (71 nucleotides) under Anaerolineaceae bacterium. Its description in RNAcentral is "tRNA-Gln". It matches the Rfam family "tRNA". From Rfam's summary of the family: Transfer RNA (tRNA) molecules are approximately 80 nucleotides in length. Their secondary structure includes four short double-helical elements and three loops (D, anti-codon, and T loops). Further hydrogen bonds mediate the characteristic L-shaped molecular structure. tRNAs have two regions of fundamental functional importance: the anti-codon, which is responsible for specific mRNA codon recognition, and the 3' end, to which the tRNAs corresponding amino acid is attached (by aminoacyl-tRNA synthetases). tRNAs cope with the degeneracy of the genetic code in two manners: having more than one tRNA (with a specific anti-codon) for a particular amino acid; and 'wobble' base-pairing, i.e. permitting non-standard base-pairing at the 3rd anti-codon position. RNAcentral also lists the same sequence under 1 other name. Lineage: Bacteria; Bacillati; Chloroflexota; Anaerolineae; Anaerolineales; Anaerolineaceae. The record is from RNAcentral.
UGGGGGUUCGUCUAAUGGCAGGACAGCAGACUCUGAAUUUGUAUAUGGAGGUUCGACUCCUUCACCCCCAG